GCGAAGUGCUCCUCCACACGCCGCGGCCGCCACCACAGCACCUCCAUCAGCUUCACCGCCAUGUACGCCAGGGCCGCCACGGCCGCGGUGAUCCACCACCAGACCAUCGUCAUCUGCACCCAAGGCGCAAUUAUAUGGCAUGGCAGCAGUAACAACAACAUUAUGUGUGGAGCUAGACGCACAGAGAGAUUCCAUCAGAGAUGAGCUGCAGGUUUGAUGGUACGCUGCAUGCAACGCAUGCUUUGUUUCCAUUCUCCAUUGAUUACUUAGCAUGCAUGAUUGGAGGAAAAAGGGGUGCUUAGUGUACCGUCAUAUAUACCAAUGUACAUGUUGCUCAAACCUUGAUUGUAGAGAUCGAGCCUCCAAUCCCAGUGACGUGACAUUGCACAAUAAUGCACAACUGGCAUACACCACCAGAGGUGCUAAGCUUAUUAGCAACACUGCUCACCUGAUGUGUUUGCUCACCACCUGCUAGCUUGCUUGGCCUGUUUCUGUUGAGCUACUAUAACCGGAGCCGCGGAUGGAUGAUGAUUAGAGCCGUCACUCACUAUAGCCAUGUCACGCAAAGGUGCAUGUCUGAAGUCUUUCUUCGUCUGAUGCAUCAGAACGCUGGCUACCUAGCUGACUGAUGAACAAGAUCUCUCUUAGCUCGUUGGAUGGAUGGGUGUAGGCACUGUUGGCAUGGAGCGGUGUGCCGCGAUCGAGAACGUGCCAAAGUUUCCUUGUGGGUGAUGCCUGAGGUUGGCUAGGGCCGGCGCUGCUGCAGCAGCUAGGUAGCGAGCAGCAGACGCAGGGAGGCUGGAGGAGGCAUGCAUGCUGUGCGCGGCGCUGUUGCUGCGAUGGGGUGGUGAUGGUGGUGGUGGCCAUGGAUGGGAGAGAGGGGGAGUGGUGUGGGAAAAGACUUGACAUGCAAUUGGAUGAGCAGGGUGAGGUCCAGGUUAUAUCUACCCAUGUCCGUUUUUCUGAUAUGCUGCUUCCGCUGAGGUGAGCCAUCACGCACUAGCUAGCUACACUCCCCGAUCCAGAUCGGGUAAAACGUGUGAAACCACAUGAGAUGCAUGCAUGUCCAUCUACAGGGUAGCUAGCUAGCUAGGUUGUAGGAGGCUAGUAUAUACGCCUGCUGUAGUGUGUUUAUAAGCAUUUUGCGUAAAAUUGUAUCUCUUAUCUUAUUUCCAUAUCCAUUUAUCUCUCUGGUGACUGUUUGCGUACUGCAUGUGUGAUGUAUGUC
Molecule: non-coding RNA, 1228 nt
Organism: Lolium perenne
Lineage: Eukaryota; Viridiplantae; Streptophyta; Magnoliopsida; Poales; Poaceae
Source: RefSeq, a predicted model, not a curated record